This 490-nucleotide ribosomal RNA is filed under the name uncultured bacterium. RNAcentral describes it as "partial 16S ribosomal RNA". It matches the Rfam family "Bacterial small subunit ribosomal RNA", at positions 29 to 507 of the family's 1533-position model. The record is from RNAcentral.
AGUGAACGCUGGCGGUAGGCCUAACACAUGCAAGUCGAACGGCAGCACAGGAGAGCUUGCUCUCUGGGUGGCGAGUGGCGGACGGGUGAGGAAUACAUCGGAAUCUGCCCAGUCGUGGGGGAUAACGUAGGGAAACUUACGCUAAUACCGCAUACGACCUUCGGGUGAAAGAGGGGGAUCGCAAGACCUCUCGCGAUUGGAUGCGCCGAUGUCGGAUUAGCUAGUUGGCGGGGUAAUGGCCCCCCAAGGCGACGAUCCGUAGCUGGUCUGAGAGGAUGAUCAGCCACACUGGAACUGAGACACGGUCCAGACUCCUACGGGAGGCAGCAGUGGGGAAUAUUGGACAAUGGGCGCAAGCCUGAUCCAGCCAUACCGCGUGGGUGAAGAAGGCCUUCGGGUUGUAAAGCCCUUUUGUUGGGAAAGAAAUCUUUCAGGCUAAUACCCUGGGAGGAUGACGGUACCCAAAGAAUAAGCACCGGCUAACUUCGUG